AAGACUAUAGACCUGCGGAGUACCUGCGGAGGGAUCAUUACCGAGUUUACAACUCCCAAACCCCAUGUGAACAUACCUGUUUCGUUCCCUCGGCGGUGUCCGGCAACGGCCCGCCAGAGGACCCAACAAACUCUUUUGAAUUUUUCAGUAUCUUCUGAGUGAAAAAAACAAUAAAUCAAAACUUUUAACAACGGAUCUCU
Molecule: unclassified non-coding RNA, 200 nt
Filed under: soil metagenome
Description: partial contains 5.8S ribosomal RNA, internal transcribed spacer 2, and large subunit ribosomal RNA
Source: RNAcentral